RNAcentral lists this ribosomal RNA (206 nucleotides) under uncultured bacterium. RNAcentral describes it as "partial 16S ribosomal RNA". It matches the Rfam family "Bacterial small subunit ribosomal RNA", at positions 568 to 774 of the family's 1533-position model. The record is from RNAcentral.
CACGUAGGCGGAUCUUUAAGUCAGAGGUGAAAUCCCAAGGCUCAACCUUGGAACUGCCUUUGAUACUGGGGAUCUCGAGUCCGGAAGAGGUGAGUGGAACUGCGAGUGUAGAGGUGAAAUUCGUAGAUAUUCGCAAGAACACCAGUGGCGAAGGCGGCUCACUGGUCCGGUACUGACGCUGAGGUGCGAAAGCGUGGGAGCAAACA